This 4721-nucleotide ribosomal RNA is filed under the name Triticum aestivum (bread wheat). RNAcentral's name for it is "partial small subunit ribosomal RNA". The record is from RNAcentral. Lineage: Eukaryota; Viridiplantae; Streptophyta; Magnoliopsida; Poales; Poaceae.
UCUGCCUGUACGUGCAAACAUGGGCCAAGCCCAUCAUCUCUCCCUUUCUUUCCUAUGCCUAGCAGGUGAGUCACACGAGAGGAGCAGAGGCUGGGGCGUUGCUGAGUUUGGCUUCAAUUUUUUUUGAUCGUAGUAUAUACUUGUGUACCCUACAUACACGUACCUGGAGGGGGCCCCUGCCGUUUGGGGGCCCGGGGCGGCCGCCCCGUUCGCCCCCCUCAGGGCCGGCCCUGCCCACAGCCUGAACCACCCGGGCCGUGGCCGACCACACGACCAGAUCUACAACCAACUCAGCGGCGACUCCGCCGCUGCCCCGACCUCACGACGGCGGCCGCGACUGUCUCGCCGAAGCUCCUCUACCAAAGGUACGAAAUGGCUGGGUCAGUUAGCUCCGAUGAUUUUUGCACCCCCGGCGGCCGCCGAACUGAACCAACACCGGCGAAAUCAUCAGAUAGCAGGCGAACUAGUGCGUCAGGCAGCCGAUCUGAUGCAAUUCCACCUAAUUUCACUUCUAGGAGCUCUGCACGUUGUCACUAUUAACGACAGUUUCAGUGAAUACAAGCGGCGGCUAGUAAAAGAGAUAGGAUUCGGGGGGUGCUAGAGCUGCCAAUGAUCCAGAAGUUAAAACUCAAGCUUAGUGCUUGGGCAAUGAGCAAGGUCGAUGUCACCCAACGUGCAUUUGUUAUUAAUCCAAAGAUAAUUCUCCCGUUCAAGCCAGCGGAUGUGGCCAAGGUCUUCGAGAUCCCAUGCGGCAACAGGGAUGUGCGUGGACCGGAUGGCAACAUCAACGAAGAGUCUGUUUCAUUUAUAAAAAAGACCCUAGGCAUGGACCAGUCCGCAGCACACAGCUUGCGCGUUGCGGAGGAGUUCUUGAUGCGGAACAUAACUGAAGAAUCAAGCAAGUUGGAGAAAGACUGUUUUCUGAUAGCGUUCGUGAUCUUUGUAAUGGGUCAUCUCCUAGAUCCUUCGUCGAAACAUGACUACAAGAGCAUCAAUUCCUGGGGCGCCAUUGCUAAUACCGAAGAGAUAGCCCAGUUCAAUUGGUGCGAGUAUGUGUUGCAAGCCUUGCUUGAUGCGGUCACAAAACUGAAGGUUGAUAUGGAUAAUGGCGUCACGACAGCAAACCUUACUGGAUGCCAUCUUUUCCUUCAGGUGUUCCUUCUUGAUAACCUUGACUUGGGGAUAUUCAACCUGAAACAUGAUGUUUUCCCUUGGGUCAAAAUGUUCGACCAGGACACCUUGCGGCGCAUGACUAUAAUGGCGUCCGACGCUGGAGUACCUGAGCCGUCGUUCGCGUCAUCAAUGUUGAGAGAUGCAGCGACCGUAUGCUACUCCCAGAGCGUUCAGACUGACAAGCCCCGCACCGACAACCCGCCAUUGUCUCGAACCUGGUCCCCUCUCCCGCCAUGCGCGCACCGGCACCUCCCUUACUGUACCGAAGGACAGUGUAGUCAAUCGCCCAUCUCCAAUGGUCGCAGUUGCCAAGAAGACCACGCCCCCAAGGCAAAUGACCGCUGUUGACUACUCGAACUAUAUCACAAAUCGAUACCCAACUAUGUCAUCCCAAACGAUAGCGGUUCUUCUCCGUGAACAGAAUGCACGGGCGGUGCGCCAUCUUACCACGGCUUCUGGAUGCACAUGCUGCACUGCUAGGGGUUUUUCUGAUUGCCCUGUUAGACCGCAGACGCUAGACGAGGAAAGCGCAUCAUGCCGCGAAAAACGCAAGUUUGCUCUUCCUGGAGCCACGCACAGUGCACAAGCUUCAUACCACACUCCAAAGUAUCGCAAACUUAGCGGUCUCAAGUUGGACCUCUCCGACUGCGAAGUUGAAAGUCCACCACAGAGAAGCGGCGUGCGAAAAGGCAGCAUGCAAACCGAGCCAACACGCAAACCCGGCCAUCAUGUGGCCACAUCAAGCCACAACAAGGACAAACAUCAUGGAAGAAGCGACGCCAUAUGCAACGCCAUACAACAGUAUGCCAUAUGCAUAGCUGAAGCAGUUAAGGACAUAUACGUCGAUAGUAUUCAAGAAAACCAGACAGGCGUUUUCUUUUCCAUCUCCACCGCCGAGCUACCCAAACGGAAAUACGUAUCAUCAAGGAGCUAUGCAGGGAAUCCAUGGUUUAAAGGUCGCCCAGUCGUGCCUCCUAAAACUGAUAUAGCCGACUUGCUGGAAGCCUAUCUGCCAUCGCUGCCCGACAAUCAGCUGGCACAAAACUGGAUAGUUCAUGGUACCCCCCGGGAGAUUAGAAUCAGAGGUGUCGAAAUCCAACUACAGAUCAUCAGCAAUAGCAUGCUCAAUCACGAGCUUGGUUCCAUCCUUAUACAUCAACUAAUGCAGAUGGACAGUGAAGCUAAUUUGGAUACACCUUGCCUAACACACCGCCACAUCCUCGAAUGUGAUUUCUCGAUACGAAUGCACCAUGCUAGCAAUGUCUUCGGUUCAUUUCUCAUUUCUCUGCGCAGCCCAUUUUGUUUCGCCACCUGCAUUAAUCAUAAUGGCCUCCUCAAUUGUUUUAAUUGUUCCUUCUUUGCAGACCUUAGCCCUUGCCGAAAAUUCAAGUAUUUCUAGGUUUUUAGAGAUCUAGAAUCAGUUUAUUGGUCCGGUUGUGCAGCACGCAGUAGAGGCAUGCCAACUAGUAAUGUUUUUUACCCCACCAAUACUUUUGAGCAAACCCUUUCUCCCCCUGUGACACAAAUGGCACGACUAGAGCUCACAAAUUGUGUCUCCGAAAACAAAAAAACUUUAGUUUUACAUCCCAGCAAUACUUCGAGAGGGGUGGGCUCUCUACAUGUGGGACAUGCUCCAAAGGGUGAUCCACAUCAUCGCUCCCUCUGUUGGUGGCGGGGUAUGGAAUGCUGAGCAGAAGGAGCGGCACGAGCUCAUAGCGUCCCGGCUCCAUGAUGCUUUGUUCCAAUGCUUGGAAGACUUCUUCGCAGUGUGGCCUACGCCAAAAGAAAAUUGGUCAACUAAGUUUCCUCAACUCUUUGACACUGCAUUCACUAGGGAGGAAACCGGGUACUGUGUUAUGCAUACCAUCAGGACACCCUUAAGACCACUAAGCUAUGUGCGCUGCAAGAUGCAAUGAAGCUGCAGGGGAACCAAUCUUCACUCCCAGCUGACGCAAUAUGGCAGAAUGCAAUGUCCUCAUCAUGCAGGGCAACCUCGUCAUCACUUUCAGCAGCAAUACUUGGAACAAGGGCUGGCAGCGCCAUCGUCGAUGCAAUGGCAACGCUGCUUGCACACGCAUCAGCUUGAUCAGCUGGGUUGACAAAGCGUGUAGCCUCUACGCCAACCCACGCCUUUGCACUCCAAGGAAUAUGAAAACGGCUAUCGCCUGCCUCCCCACCAGCAAUCGCAACUGCAAGCAAACGUCAACCCCAAUCAAAUUCAUGGUCAUGCACUCUACAGCCUACAUUCCAGAAAUUCAAAGAAUGGAGCUCCUCGGUUGCGGAAUCAUUUACCUGAUCCAGAUGGUUCUCUGCGAGAAGAUCCAGCACCAGAACCUACAUCAGUGCCAACAAGUGAGAUGUUGCCUCCUCGGUCUGCAAUUUUUGGAACUUUUUCCUAUCAGCUAUCAGUGCACUCAUAGUUCUACAUAUCGAAUAUUUUGUUAAUAAUGCGACCGCCCCACACCGCCCCACACUGCUUCGUGCGCCAUGCUAACAGCAUUAGGGUACAGCUUGCUUCCAAAAUAAUACUGUAGUUUCUUCUUUUGAUCAUCAACCUACAUGAUUAUACUCUCCACAACCGAGCUCCUGUUUUCUUCAAUUGUCUCUGCUGCAACCCUGACCAUAGCAUCCAUAAGCAUUGGCAUGACAUGGUCUUCGAUCAUAGCCAUUAUGUUAUCCUUUCCCCUGCAGUUAUAUCAGAACAUUAAACAUGUCAGAAUAGACCAUCACCUAAAUAGAUCAGAGUGCAUUGGUCUGCAUAAACAUAUUUACCAGGUUGCUCACCUCUCCAACUUCGACCAUGCUGGAUGUUGCAUCUUCACCCACUCUCGCUGCCAUCAUCGGGAGCCACCUCAUAGGAAGCCCACCCAUGCUCCCCUAUGGCCUUAUCUGCAAUACAAAACAGACAGAUUGUAAAUUUCACAGCCCAGGGGAGAAAUGAAUUUUUGUUUUAUGGUUCGAAGCCAACGAAAUGAAGCCAGAGCUGUCUUUGUUUAGUAAUUCCAAUCCUAACCUUGUAUCUCCGGUGCUCAUCUGCCCUCUGCCGGUCUUCUUCAACCAAAGUGAUGAGCUCCUCCAUCUUCUCCGAAGAGUACACGGCAAUCUUAGGCACUAGGUCGGUGUUGAUGCUUGCUGCCUUGAAAUCGAUCCACUCGAGGCAGAAAAGAUGUAAAUUUUCAAGAGAACAAGAAUGUGUUCAUGCAAAACAGCCAACAUUUCAUGAAAAUACAUUAAUUUUUUUAAAUCUGUAAAGCUGUUAACCUGAAGCAGAAGAUUCCACCCCGCCUAAAUUUCCUUUGCAUUUUCAAGACGGCUGAUUUUGUUGAAUUCUUCGGGGCACAAUCCGUUGAAGAGAAUAUCACAAGCUUGAGCAUUGUAUUGCAACAUCUUCAACUCAUCCGCGGUAGCUUUACGGUUUGGUUCUCUCCCAUCAAAGAAGUCACCUUGCAAACCAACACACACAAUAGCCCAAACGGCGGGGUUAUGUUCAAGAAUAUGCAUUUUCAUUUUAUGCUUUCAACUAGCAAAAUUAGUACCAUCAAAGUAGG